This is a long non-coding RNA of Humulus lupulus (European hop), 386 nucleotides long. RefSeq lists it as uncharacterized. The record is from RefSeq and is a predicted model, not a curated record. The transcript has 3 exons. NCBI's taxonomy places the organism in Eukaryota, Viridiplantae, Streptophyta, Magnoliopsida, Rosales, Cannabaceae.
UUUGUCGGCAGAUCAAAACAAUGAAGGAACUGUACUUACCUAAACUUCAUGAAUUGUAUCAGAAAAUUGCUGGCAAAUUACAGCAGCUUACUCGAUCGUUUAAUGAAAGCGGUAAAAUCUAUGUCACCUAAGGCAUUGAGUGCUUCUGUCAGGGACAUUGGCUCUGUUGUCAGCAUGGUUGGUCAAAGUUGAGUACUAUAUUACUCUCUUGCAUAUCCUCAAAGUUGGUCAGCCAUAGAUUUUGAUGGCUAGAAUUUGCCACUGAUAUGAAUUGCUAUGUGUUUUCUGACUUUGGAUUGAAGUUUUAGUGCCAUAUUGUGGAUACGUUCCUCUGUUUUCAUGUGAUUUAUUUUUUAUGCAUCUGUUUUAAAUUUCAAUUCUAUUAC